This 721-nucleotide long non-coding RNA is filed under the name Homo sapiens (human). RNAcentral's name for it is "non-protein coding LINC01515:35". Lineage: Eukaryota; Metazoa; Chordata; Mammalia; Primates; Hominidae. The record is from RNAcentral.
AAACGGCUGGGUAGGAAGCACGCUAGCAGGGGCCUCUGGCCUUGCUGAGGGUCCCUGUUUCCCCUUUUCCUUCCUUUUCACCCAACAAAACCCUGCUUUACUCACCCUUCAAACCAUCUAUGAGCCUAAAUUGUCGUGGUCGUGGAAUGGACAAGGACCCAGUCUUUAGCUGAACUAAGGGAAAGUCCUGCUUUUUGGCGCGCAACAGGGGAGCUCAAGAAACAGGCCUCACUCACGGCAUAUGGAACUAACCACGCCCCUAACUAAGAAGGCACACCUUAGUUGCAGUUAGCACACAAUUAAAGCAACUCUCCAAGUUUUACCUUAAAGUUCAAAAUUGCUAGGAGUUGAAACUACUAGAAAUAUAUUUACAUGCAAGAGUCAAAGAAACUUUGAACUAUUUAUGGCCUUUAAUAAUUAAGUAAGGUAUACUCCUGUGAUCAAGACUUGGAGCAUAUUUGUUUCUCUCUGCCUGGUUCCUCUAGAAAUUGGAAACUAUCAGAACAGAGACCAACUCCGUUUCCCGAUCCCUUUGCAAUCUGCAUUGAACCAUGAGUCAAGUUCUUGAUAAAGGAGUGAAAAUGGAUGACAUUUAAGGCACAUCUGAAGAUGGGGAAACCACAGCACAGAAUAAGGCUGGGCCCUUGAAUCAAUAAAUGAAGGAGAACUACUCAAGAGAACAAAACCACCAGCAAUAUCCACCUGUAUUUGUCUUUUCAUA